This 394-nucleotide ribosomal RNA is filed under the name uncultured bacterium. Its description in RNAcentral is "partial 16S ribosomal RNA". It matches the Rfam family "Bacterial small subunit ribosomal RNA", at positions 338 to 729 of the family's 1533-position model. The record is from RNAcentral.
CCUACGGGUGGCAGCAGUGAGGAAUAUUGGUCAAUGGCCGGAAGGCUGAACCAGCCAUGCCGCGUGAAGGUCAGUGCCCUAUGGGCGUUAAACUUCUUUUGUGCGGGAGCAAUAAUGGUCACGUGUGGCCAGACGAGAGUACCGUACGAAUAAGCAUCGGCUAACUCCGUGCCAGAAGCCGCGGUAAUACGGGGGAUGGGAGCGUUAUCCGGAUUUAUUGGGUUUAAAGGGGGCGUAGGCUGUGAGGUAAGUCAGCGGUGAAAUGCCCGCGCUCAACGGGGUGAACUGCCAUUGAUACUGCCUGGCUGGAGUGGGGAAGAAGUGGGCGGAAUGGGUGGUGUAGCGGUGAAAUGCAUAGAUAUCACGCAGAACACCGAUUGCGAAGGCAGCACAC